This 123-nucleotide ribosomal RNA is filed under the name uncultured marine microorganism. RNAcentral describes it as "partial large subunit ribosomal RNA". The record is from RNAcentral.
UCCUUGACAGGUAAAUUCCGUCCAGCAUGAGCGGUGUAUCGACUUCCUCACUGUCACUAACGUGGUCUCUCAGAAAUUGAGUCAUCCUUGAUUACGAGGAACCCAACGGCCUGACGGUAAGAC